RNAcentral lists this ribosomal RNA (474 nucleotides) under uncultured bacterium. RNAcentral describes it as "bacterial SSU rRNA". It matches the Rfam family "Bacterial small subunit ribosomal RNA", at positions 19 to 518 of the family's 1533-position model. The record is from RNAcentral.
AUGGCUCAGGAUGAACGCUGGCGGCGUGCCUAACACAUGCAAGUCGAGCGAUUCUCUUCGGAGAAGAGCGGCGGACGGGUGAGUAACGCGUGGGUAACCUGCCCUAUACGACACGGAUAACGUACCGAAAGGUACGCUAAUACGAGAUAAUAUGCUUUAGUCGCAUGGCUGAAGUAUCAAAGCUCCGGCGGUAUAGGAUGGACCCGCGUCUGAUUAGCUAGUUGGUAAGGUAAUGGCUUACCAAGGCGACGAUCAGUAGCCGACCUGAGAGGGUGAUCGGCCACAUUGGAACUGAGACACGGUCCAAACUCCUACGGGAGGCAGCAGUGGGGAAUAUUGCACAAUGGGCGAAAGCCUGAUGCCAGCAACGCCGCGUGAGCGAUGAAGGCCUUCGGGUCGUAAAGCUCUGUCCUCAAGGAAGAUAAUGACGGUACUUGAGGAGGAAGCCCCGGCUAACUACGUGCCAGCCGCCGC